UUGUGUCUGAUAUAUUCGAUGCUGUUUAAAUGCUUUGUACCUAAUUUAUUAUUAAGGGAUCAAACCGUUAGCAUUUUGAGCAUGCCUUUUAUAUUAAAGGAAGCCUUCCGCUAAUCAGAGAGCCCACUUGAACAUACUGGUUCAAGGAUAUAAACAGUUUCGGUAUAUUGGAUAUUCA
This 178-nucleotide non-coding RNA is filed under the name Gammaproteobacteria bacterium. Its description in RNAcentral is "6S RNA". It matches the Rfam family "6S / SsrS RNA". From Rfam's summary of the family: E. coli 6S RNA was the first non coding RNA to be sequenced, but its function was unknown until recently. It consists of 184 nucleotides that fold into an extended hairpin structure with a large single-stranded internal bulge. The record is from RNAcentral. Lineage: Bacteria; Pseudomonadati; Pseudomonadota; Gammaproteobacteria. RNAcentral also lists the same sequence under 1 other name.